Molecule: ribosomal RNA, 253 nt
Filed under: uncultured bacterium
Lineage: Bacteria
Description: partial 16S ribosomal RNA
Rfam family: Bacterial small subunit ribosomal RNA
Source: RNAcentral
UACGUAGGGGGCAAGCGUUGUCCGGAUUUAUUGGGCGUAAAGAGCGUGUAGGCGGCCAUACAGGUCCGUUGUGAAAACUGGAGGCUUAACCUCCAGACGUCGAUGGAAACCGUAUGGCUAGAGUCCGGAAGAGGAGAGUGGAAUUCCUGGUGUAGCGGUGAAAUGCGUAGAUAUCGUAAGGAAGACCAGUGGCGAAGGCGGCAUCCUGGACCGGCAUUGACGCUAAAGCGCGAAAGCCAGGGGAGCAAACGGG